ACUCCUACGGGAGGCAGCAGUGGGGAAUAUUGCACAAUGGGCGCAAGCCUGAUGCAGCCAUGCCGCGUGUAUGAAGAAGGCCUUCGGGUUGUAAAGUACUUUCAGUGCAGAUGGAGGAAGGUGGGUAUGUUAAUAGCAUACACAUUUGACGUUAGCUGCAGAAGAAGCACCGGCUAACUCCGUGCCAGCAGCCGGCGGUAAUACGGAGGGUGCGAGCGUUAAUCGGAAUUACUGGGCGUAAAGCGCAUGCAGGUGGUUUGUUAAGUCAGAUGUGAAAGCCCGGGGCUCAACCUCGGAAUUGCAUUUGAAACUGGCAAACUAGAGUACUGUAGAGGGGGGUAGAAUUUCAGGUGUAGCGGUGAAAUGCGUAGAGAUCUGAAGGAAUACCGGUGGCGAAGGCGGCCCCCUGGACAGAUACUGACACUCAGAU
Molecule: ribosomal RNA, 430 nt
Filed under: uncultured bacterium
Lineage: Bacteria
Description: bacterial SSU rRNA
Rfam family: Bacterial small subunit ribosomal RNA
Source: RNAcentral